GAUGAACGCUGGCGGCGUGCCUAAUACAUGCAAGUCGAGCGAACGGACGAGAAGCUUGCUUCUCUGAUGUUAGCGGCGGACGGGUGAGUAACACGUGGAUAACCUACCUAUAUGACUGGGAUAACUUCGGGAAACCGGAGCUAAUACCGGAUAAUAUUUUGAACCGCAUGGUUCAAAAGUGAAAGACGGUCUUGCUGUCACUUAUAGAUGGAUCCGCGCUGCAUUAGCUAGUUGGUAAGGUAACGGCUUACCAAGGCAACGAUGCAUAGCCGACCUGAGAGGGUGAUCGGCGACCCUGGAACGGGAACACGGUCAAGACUCCUACGGGAGGCAGCAGUAGGGAAUCUUCCGCAAUGGGCGAAAGCCUGACGGAGCAACGCCGCGUGAGUUAUGAAGGUCUUCGGAUCGUAAAACUCUGUUAUUAGUGAAGAACAUAUGUGUAAGGAACUGUGCACAUCUUGACGGUACCUAAUCAGAAAGCCACGGCUAACUACGUG
RNAcentral lists this ribosomal RNA (497 nucleotides) under uncultured bacterium. Its description in RNAcentral is "partial 16S ribosomal RNA". It matches the Rfam family "Bacterial small subunit ribosomal RNA", at positions 28 to 507 of the family's 1533-position model. The record is from RNAcentral.